AACGAACGCUGGCGGCAUGCCUAGCACAUGCAAGUCGAACGAAGGCUUCGGCCUUAGUGGCGCACGGGUGCGUAACGCGUGGGAAUCUGCCCUUUGCUUCGGAAUAACAGUUAGAAAUGACUGCUAAUACCGGAUGAUGUCGCAAGACCAAAGAUUUAUCGGCAAAGGAUGAGCCCGCGUAGGAUUAGCUAGUUGGUGGGGUAAAGGCCUACCAAGGCGACGAUCCUUAGCUGGUCUGAGAGGAUGAUCAGCCACACUGGGACUGAGACACGGCCCAGACUCCUACGGGAGGCAGCAGUGGGGAAUAUUGGACAAUGGGCGAAAGCCUGAUCCAGCAAUGCCGCGUGAGUGAUGAAGGCCUUAGGGUUGUAAAGCUCUUUUACCCGGGAUGAUAAUGACAGUACCGGGAGAAUAAGCUCCGGCUAACUCCGUG
RNAcentral lists this ribosomal RNA (433 nucleotides) under uncultured bacterium. Its description in RNAcentral is "partial 16S ribosomal RNA". It matches the Rfam family "Bacterial small subunit ribosomal RNA", at positions 29 to 507 of the family's 1533-position model. The record is from RNAcentral.